RNAcentral lists this long non-coding RNA (269 nucleotides) under Homo sapiens (human). RNAcentral's name for it is "non-protein coding lnc-NIFK-12:1". The record is from RNAcentral. Lineage: Eukaryota; Metazoa; Chordata; Mammalia; Primates; Hominidae.
AGCAAUAAUGAAGAUAAUUACUGAUAAAAAUUGAUAGGAAGAUAGAAGGUGCUAGAGAAAGAAACUGAAAAUGGAAUAUUACAGAUUUUGAUUGUAGCAUAUUAUGCAUUAGUAUCUCAAGUUAGGUCAAUUUUGUUCAUCCAUUUUAUCCUUACUAUUAAAACAGCACAUUUCAAAGUGUUAAGGAAAACAAUUUUUAAUUGGGAAAUUGUACAAAAGGUGUUUGGCACAGGGCACAGGUAUACGUACUUACAAAUUACUUUGUAUAA